This is an unclassified non-coding RNA of Papio anubis (olive baboon), 148 nucleotides long. It matches the Rfam family "Metazoan signal recognition particle RNA". From Rfam's summary of the family: The signal recognition particle (SRP) is a universally conserved ribonucleoprotein. NCBI's taxonomy places the organism in Eukaryota, Metazoa, Chordata, Mammalia, Primates, Cercopithecidae. The record is from Ensembl.
GCCGGGUGUGGUGGCAUGCGCCUGUAGUCCCAGCUACUCGGGAGGCUGAGGCAGAAGAAUCACUUGAACCCAGGAGGUGGAAGUUGCAGUGAGCCGAGAUCAUGCCACUGCCCUCCAGCCUGGGUAACAGAGUGAGAUUCUGUCUCAA